This 293-nucleotide ribosomal RNA is filed under the name uncultured bacterium. RNAcentral describes it as "partial 16S ribosomal RNA". It matches the Rfam family "Archaeal small subunit ribosomal RNA", at positions 455 to 747 of the family's 1478-position model. The record is from RNAcentral.
GUGCCAGCCGCCGCGGUAAUACCGGCAGCUCAAGUGAUGUCCCAUAUUAUUGGGCCUAAAGCGUCCGUAGCUGGGUCUGAAAGUCCAUCGGGAAAUCCACCCGCCCAACGGGUGGGCGUCCGGUAGAAACUGGCCGGCUUGGAACCGGAAGGCUCAGAGAGUACGUCCGGGGUAGGAGUGAAAUCCCGUAAUCCCGGACGGACUACCGAUGGCGAAAGCACUCUGAGAAGACGGCUUCGACAGUGAGGGACGAAAGCUCGGGUCUCAAACCGGAUUAGAUACCCGGGUAGUCC